CCUACGGGUGGCAGCAGUGAGGAAUAUUGGUCAAUGGCCGGAAGGCUGAACCAGCCAAGCCGCGUGAAGGACGAAGGUCCCAAGCAUUGUAAACUUCUUUUGUCAGGGGACAAAAGCAGCCUCGAGUGCCUGACCGAGGGUACUUGAAGAACAAGCACCGGCUAACUCCGUGCCAGCAGCCGCGGUAAUACGGAGGGUGCGGGCGUUAUCCGGAUUUGUUGGGUUUAAAGGGUGGGUAGGCGGGGCGUUAAGUCUGCGGUGAAAUUCCGGGGGUCAACCAGGAGAGGGCGGUGGAAACUGGCUGUCUUGAGAUGUGGAGAGGGAUGCGGAAUGCGAGGUGUAGCGGUGAAAUGCUUAGAUA
RNAcentral lists this ribosomal RNA (361 nucleotides) under uncultured bacterium. RNAcentral describes it as "partial 16S ribosomal RNA". It matches the Rfam family "Bacterial small subunit ribosomal RNA", at positions 338 to 696 of the family's 1533-position model. The record is from RNAcentral.